CUGAAGGAACGUUGAAGACGACGACGUUGAUAGGUCGGGUGUGUAAGCGCAGCGAUGCGUUGAGCUAACCGAUACUAAUGAACCGUGAGGCUUAACCUU
This 99-nucleotide ribosomal RNA is filed under the name Enterobacter cloacae. RNAcentral's name for it is "partial 23S ribosomal RNA". It matches the Rfam family "Bacterial large subunit ribosomal RNA", at positions 2827 to 2925 of the family's 2925-position model. The record is from RNAcentral. Lineage: Bacteria; Pseudomonadati; Pseudomonadota; Gammaproteobacteria; Enterobacterales; Enterobacteriaceae. RNAcentral also lists the same sequence under 10 other names.